This is a non-coding RNA of Cajanus cajan (pigeon pea), 1260 nucleotides long. The record is from RefSeq and is a predicted model, not a curated record. Lineage: Eukaryota; Viridiplantae; Streptophyta; Magnoliopsida; Fabales; Fabaceae.
UACCUGCUAUAGGUUGUUCUGGCCAACAUGUUGCUGGCAUUAGCUGUUUUAAGUAUGUUACCAUUUAUGUUUGAAAACUUUGAGCCAUUUUUUAGUUAUUUUGUUUGUCUUCUAUAAUCUUAUAUAUAUGCUGAUGUGUAAUGUAUGUUGUUUGCAAAUCGGUUAACGAGGGUUGCCUUUAAAAAUUCUAAAUCUAGUUGUACAAUGUAGUGGCAGAUUGAAAACCUAGCAGGCCAGAAUUUGGGAUUCUACUUUGUUUCUAUUUUAUAUCUAUAUAUCUAUAUAUGUGUUGAUUAUCCAGGUAUUUUGAGUUGUGCAGGCAUUAUGGACACAAUUUUUGUCAUCACUUCUGAUUUCUAUUGGUAACAUUUGAUUGAUAUCACCGUGGCUUCUGCAUUGAUUUAUCCGUGUCCUGCAAACUUUAAUGUUUUGGUUUUACUUUGAAAGACUUGACUAAGGCCUUUCUGUAGUGAAAUUAUGUUCUCUUGAUUUUUCAAAUAAUAGACAAGAUGCUUAUUCUCGGAUUCAAUGUGCUGCUGCUACACAUGUCCCAUUUCGCUAAUAAAAUCUUCAGCUAAUUAUGUUCUCUGGUCUAUGCAGUCUUUCCAUUAUUGCAAGUAUAAGCGGGGGAUGAAAACCAAUUUUACAUAUUUGCUGAUGAUUGCAUUCCAAGAUGUUUCAGAUGAGAUAGAAGAAGAUCCUACGGGUGGGAGGAUCAAGUGGGAGCAGGGAAAGUUGAAUAGAGCUCCGAAUAAGGUGGAAGAAAUUGUACAAUUUCAUGUUGGUGAUGUGGUCACAUACUUUCAAAAGGCGUCUCUUCUACCAUGUGGUGGAGAGUACAUUGUAUUUUGAACAGUUAUGGGUUGUGUUGGGACAUUACAUGCCUUCACUUCACGGGGUGAUGUUGAUUUCUAUUCUCAUCUGGAGAUGCAUAUGAGGCAGGAUCCCCUACCUUUGUGUGGAAGAGACCACAUGGCCUAUAGAUCUGCUUAUUUUCAUGAUAAGGUACCUACCUAAUCAAUUUUAUGUUUUUUGUUCUUUCUAUUAAUGCAAGAAAAAUGUUGGAGUUAGCUGUACACACGCUUCAACUGUCAUUUAGAGAAAACAUGGUAAUUUUGUAUAAAUUGUUUGGGUUAGGAGGAUCUUGCCUUCUUAGAAAUUGGAAUGAUAAGUUUGCACUCUAUCUCUAGCUUGCUGCAGUAGUCGUGUGUACUAUGAUGAUUUUUUUUGACCGAAUAAUCAAUGGCUUGCUGCUCAUCA